Pipistrellus kuhlii (Kuhl's pipistrelle) is the source of this 357-nucleotide long non-coding RNA. RefSeq lists it as uncharacterized. NCBI's taxonomy places the organism in Eukaryota, Metazoa, Chordata, Mammalia, Chiroptera, Vespertilionidae. The transcript is spliced from 3 exons. The record is from RefSeq and is a predicted model, not a curated record.
CCAAGUCUGACUAGAGCUGGCUGAAAAGGCUGAGCUGCAUCAGCACACACGGUGACUGCCACUUGUAUGAUUUCUCGAGGCUGUGGCUGGCAAUUUAAACAUCAAUUGUGCCUGACAUUCAAGAGAGUUGCUGCAUGCAUAAAUAAAUGAAUGAAUCUGAAAGUAGAACAAUGAGCAGGCUUUUGCAAAUACUUCAGGAGGUGGUGCUCUGGGAAGUGAUUAGGCCAUUAGUGCUCUUAUGGAAGAGGCCCCAGAGAGCUCCUCCACACUUCUACCAUGUGAGGAUGCAACAGGCUGGCAGCCUGCAACUGCAAGGGGAAUCUGACAACACCAUCACUCUUGGACAAACGACCUUCA